UGGAAGAAUGAUACACGUGAUGCAAAUAAUUAAGCUUCUCGCCACAGUUUCUUCCUAUAAAAAAAAUUGCCUUCUGAUGACUGUAACUUGUGAAGUUUUAAUUUACAGACAGAUACGGGGCAUACAAGC
Molecule: small nucleolar RNA, 129 nt
Filed under: Melipona quadrifasciata
Lineage: Eukaryota; Metazoa; Arthropoda; Insecta; Hymenoptera; Apidae
Description: Small Cajal body specific RNA 8
Rfam family: Small Cajal body specific RNA 8
About the family: scaRNAs are a specific class of small nuclear RNAs which localise to the Cajal bodies and guide the modification of RNA polymerase II transcribed spliceosomal RNAs U1, U2, U4, U5 and U12. U92 belong to the H/ACA box class of guide RNAs as it has the predicted hairpin-hinge-hairpin-tail structure, conserved H/ACA-box motifs and is found associated with GAR1.
Source: Rfam by way of RNAcentral